UGAAAUUAAAAUUUUAAUAGUUUGAAAGCCCUAGUUUGAAUAUAAUACACUAGACUUAAAAUCUGGUUGAUCUAAGGAAAGCAGGAAUUGGCUCACUAACAACUUCUGCUAAUUGUAGGUCUAGGAAUCACCAGUUAGCAGAAACAAAAGUUAAAAGUUAAAAUGGAACUUAAAGCUGUUUGGUAAAAGUACAACCCGGUUGAUUAGAUAGAUUUUAUCAGCCCUAAGUCUAGUCAUGUAUCAGUUUUACAGUUAUCCUCAGAUGGAGUUGCUGAUGUUUAAGAAUUUAUGAAGAAUGUUGCUGGUUUAAAUCGUUUUAAUACAGAGGGAUUUAAACUUUGCAGAGGGACAGAAAUCAACAGGAACAAAAAGGAUUUGGAAAAAUUAAAGGGCAGAACCCAAAGGAUUUUUUAAAAAUGUAAACACAUUCUCUAAAUUAGAUAAUUUGACUAAAGGUACACAUGGUUGUGUGCCCUCUUCUGCUGCAAAUUAUAUUGAAAAUGAUGCUUGAACGUUCCACAUGCCAGAUGUAACUUUGUUUUCUUUACUAAUUUCUUACUUGGAAGAUGGAGUUAUAAAACAUUCUCCCUUAACCCACCCCAGUAGUGGUUCUUAAUUUGACUGGGGCCCACAAACAGCGGUGAAUUAUUCAGAAAAAUGGUUUUAAAGGGUUUGUCCUCUUCAGUAUUACAGCUGAUUGUGAUUAUGCUCGCUGGGACAAAACAUUUGGUACAUAAUUUUCCCAUGUGGCUCAGGAUGGGGAGAGGAAGAGUAAAUAAUAAUUAAAAAAAGAAGGUAUUACAAGAUCUACUAUUUAAAUUGCCAUUACAGGGAACGAAACAGAAAGUGAGUAAAAUAAAAAGUGAACAUGUGAUGUUUCAGCAGUUGGAUCUUCAACCCUGAAGGUGUCACCUCAGUUUAAUUAACUCCAAGGAGGAGGCUUGCCUAUUGCCUCCUUUUCUCUAUUCUUUAUUUAUUUACAGGUCUGUUGGUUGCUGAACGUGGAAGCAGAUGGAUUGGUGGUCAGUGUGGCGUCGAGUAUUGAACCCAGGGCGUGAUGGAUGAGUGUUUGGAGCUGAUAUGGUGGACAUGUUAAAGCACCCAUCGACAUACAAUCGUGAUUGUCCUGGACAUUGAACACCUGUGGGCUGUUUCACCCCACCAGCAGGUCAACCUGGUAUGAAGCAACCAAGUCCUGACAUGACCUCACCUCGUCAAGGUCAGUACCCCUGCAAGGGGAUAACUCGUCUGAUGACACACCCCUGAGCAUGGCCAGCUGCAUGAGCACUGCAGACUCCGAGCUGUCAACGGAAAAGACUGCAUGAACUUUUGGUGGACACUGGAGACACAUAUGGGCCUCUGAGUUGUGGACUAAGACUGUCACUGAAUAUGAUACUGAGAGAAGAAACAGUGUCUGCCCUUGUGAGCUGAGGGGGAGAAAGCAUUGCUAGCAUCUAUUGAGGACUGAGAACAGAGCCUGCUACAACUGGUGUUCUCUCCAGCAAUGGAAGAUGUAACGUCUGGGUUCCUGCUCUUCUUCCCACCUGACCCGCCACACGUCACUCUGUUCUACGACAGCAACCGCACAGACUGGUAUCAUGAUUCUUUAAGGUAAAACACAGACAGUCAUUCUAGGAAUAUGUAUGUGGCACCUGAGCAUUUGGCAGCUGCUACUGCUGAACAAUUUAUAAUGAUAUAUGAUGUCGGAUGAAACGAUUUCACACAUUUCUCUUUCUCUCCAUGUUGAGCACCAGAAAGAAGUAAGGGCGUGGUUAAACAUUCCCUUCAGGCAACUGAUUGGGCUCCUACCAGCGUGCAGUUUCAGAUUAUAUUGGAGAUUCCUAAGGAAUGUGAAGGAGGGUCCACAACCCCCAGACCUCGGCUGAGUGCGCGCUAAGUUCAACGAAGGACAGAAGUGGGGGUUGUGAUUUAGGGUGCUCUGACCAGAGUGCGGAGCCGUGAGGUCCCACCACAGGGUGCCAAAGGAAACACCGAGACCAGCGCAGAACCAGAGUGGGAAAGUCAUCAAAAGAAAGUGGUCAGAACCAAGGUGGACCAGCCCGUACCAGAUGGUGGAACGCACUUCGCACGCAGUCAGGCUCAAAGGAAAAGGCGACACCUGGUAUCAUUGGAGUCAGUGUGCAGCCACUGAGGAACCCCAGCGCUCUCAAACAUCAGGUGCGCCAGGAUUUACAGGAUAAGACCACAACGCUGUGAAAGGGAGCCUAUCGGUGAAUCCUCUACUCAACCACGGUCAUAAUAAAACCCGUAGAGAGAUUCAGUGAGCUUAAGCUCACUCACAAAAAUCGCGCAAAGGAGACAAAGCAGAAGAACAAAGAAGAAGAGGCGGAAGAAGUGGGCAGUGAGCUGCUCUCCUGCUCCAGAAAGAAAAAAAAAAGAA
Long non-coding RNA from Fundulus heteroclitus (mummichog), 2401 nucleotides. RefSeq lists it as uncharacterized. The record is from RefSeq and is a predicted model, not a curated record. The transcript is spliced from 2 exons. Lineage: Eukaryota; Metazoa; Chordata; Actinopteri; Cyprinodontiformes; Fundulidae.